RNAcentral lists this ribosomal RNA (421 nucleotides) under uncultured bacterium. RNAcentral describes it as "bacterial SSU rRNA". It matches the Rfam family "Bacterial small subunit ribosomal RNA", at positions 356 to 774 of the family's 1533-position model. The record is from RNAcentral.
AAGGAAUAUUGGACAAUGGAGGCAACUCUGAUCCAGCCAUGCCGCGUGAAGGAAUAAGGCCCUAUGGGUUGUAAACUUCUUUUAGACGGGACAAAACCCCUUUACGUGUAAAGGGUUGAUGGUACUGUCAGAAUAAGCAUCGGCUAACUUCGUGCCAGCAGCCGCGGUAAUACGAAGGAUGCAAGCGUUAUCCGGAAUUAUUGGGUUUAAAGGGUGCGUAGGCGGACUAAUAAGUCAGUGGUGAAAGCCUGCAGCUUAACUGCAGAAUUGCCAUUGAUACUGUUAGUCUUGAGUACAGUUGAGGUAGGCGGAAUGUGUCAUGUAGCGGUGAAAUGCUUAGAUAUGACACAGAACACCGAUUGCGAAGGCAGCUUGCUAAGCUAUAACUGACGCUGAGGCACGAAAGCGUGGGGAGCAAACA